GCUGAUGUGGCUCAGUGGUAGAGCACUUCCUUGGUAAGGAAGAGGUCGGCGGUUCAAUUCCGCUCAUCAGCUCCA
Molecule: transfer RNA, 75 nt
Filed under: Alkaliphilus oremlandii OhILAs
Lineage: Bacteria; Bacillati; Bacillota; Clostridia; Peptostreptococcales; Natronincolaceae
Description: tRNA-Thr (GGT) (tRNA-Thr-GGT-1-1)
Rfam family: tRNA
About the family: Transfer RNA (tRNA) molecules are approximately 80 nucleotides in length. Their secondary structure includes four short double-helical elements and three loops (D, anti-codon, and T loops).
Source: RNAcentral